This 431-nucleotide ribosomal RNA is filed under the name uncultured bacterium. Its description in RNAcentral is "partial 16S ribosomal RNA". It matches the Rfam family "Bacterial small subunit ribosomal RNA", at positions 29 to 507 of the family's 1533-position model. The record is from RNAcentral.
AACGAACGCUGGCGGCAGGCUUAACACAUGCAAGUCGAGCGCCCCGCAAGGGGAGCGGCGGACGGGUGAGUAACGCGUGGGAACGUACCUUUUGGUGCGGAACAACUCCGGGAAACUGGAACUAAUACCGGAUAAGCCCUAACGGGGAAAGAUUUAUCGCCGAACGAUCGGGCCGCGUCUGAUUAGCUAGUUGGUGGGGUAACGGCUCACCAAAGCGACGAUCAGUAGCUGGUCUGAGAGGAUGAGCAGCCACACUGGGACUGAGACACGGCCCAGACUCCUACGGGAGGCAGCAGUGGGGAAUAUUGGACAAUGGGCGCAAGCCUGAUACAGCCAUGCCGGGUGAGUGAUGAAGGCCUUAGGGUUCUAAAGCUCUUUUGUACGGGAAGAUAAUGACUGUACCGGAAGAAUAAGCCCCGGCUAACUUCGUG